RNAcentral lists this ribosomal RNA (200 nucleotides) under uncultured bacterium. RNAcentral's name for it is "partial 16S ribosomal RNA". It matches the Rfam family "Bacterial small subunit ribosomal RNA", at positions 29 to 258 of the family's 1533-position model. The record is from RNAcentral.
AACGAACGCUGGCGGCAGGCUUAACACAUGCAAGUCGAACGCCCCGCAAGGGGAGUGGCAGACGGGUGAGUAACGCGUGGGAAUCUACCGUACCCUACGGAAUAACGCAUGGAAACGUGUGCUAAUACCGUAUACGCCCCACGGGGGAAAGAUUUAUCGGGGUAUGAUGAGCCCGCGUUGGAUUAGCUAGUUGGUGGGGU